GGGGUGUUACUAUUGGACCCACGCGGCGGCCCGCUCCUCCCCCAGGCUCUCGCCGCAGAGCCCCACCCGCAGCCGCAGGUUCGGACCCAGCCGCCUGCGGUCGGCCGCACGCACACCACCCGCGAGCCGGCCUCACCCUGAUCGCGUCUACGAGGAGAAGCUGCGAAAAUCCCGCCGGCCCCCCGGGAUCUGCCUACACUUGUUCACAUCCACGUACUGUCAUUUACUGGCCGUCACUCCAAGCUGGGACCUCACACACACCCAUUGCCCCUGAGGGCACCAUCGGAAGGCUAAUUAUUUUUUAAGUAGAAAUGUCCAGGAUGGUUUGGGCCGGGAGGAGGAUUAUUCAAACAUUAAUUAGAAGAUGGAGAUUCAUCAGGUAACAUUCAGGGAGUGAACACGUCGAACAACGGGACAAUGAAACCUGCUAAGCUGUACCCAGAAUCUGCUGUGGAUAAACUAGCUAGAAAGGAGCAAUGCGCACAUAGGCUAUGUCAAGCCUUUCUGCCAGUCAGUCCUGCAUGCUUUCUCAGAAGCCAGCGGCCUCCCUAACACUUCCUUCACCCUGGGCUUACAGCAGUGGAUUUCAAAGAAAAUCAUCCUGAAACAUGCUGUUACCUGCACAAGCUAAGAUAAAUGGAUCCUCAUCCUGCUGUUUCUCCUGGCUUCAGAAUGCUCAGCUUCCUGACUUCUUUCUGACCUACUUAUAGAUGAUACAAAGAUCUUCACUGCAUUUGCAUUUCUCUCCAGAAAGUCACCUGACUGCCAGUAUAGUCAUGCUCAUGAAUGCCUAGUGGCUCGGAAAAGCCUCUGUACGAACCUGUGGGAUAAAUAUUCAGAAAGGCAUUCUUAGAGCAGUUGGCAAUGCUAUUGUGGAAUUUGUGAAGCAAUAAGAUAACAAGAUCACGAGGCCCUUCCUCUCAACCAAGCAGAUCUAUUUACUGUACUAUUAUUUUUCAUAGGAAAAUAACAUCAUGAAAGGAU
Molecule: long non-coding RNA, 984 nt
Organism: Pipistrellus kuhlii (Kuhl's pipistrelle)
Lineage: Eukaryota; Metazoa; Chordata; Mammalia; Chiroptera; Vespertilionidae
Exons: 5
Source: RefSeq, a predicted model, not a curated record